CCUACGGGGGGCAGCAGUGAGGAAUAUUGGUCAAUGGCCGGAAGGCUGAACCAGCCAUGCAGCGUGAAGGUCAGUGCCCUAUGGGCGUUAAACUUCUUUUGUGCGGGAGCAAUAAUGGUCACGUGUGGCCAGACGAGAGUACCGUACGAAUAAGCAUCGGCUAACUCCGUGCCAGCAGCCGCGGUUAUACGGGGGAUGCAAGCGUUAUUCGGAUUUUUUGGGUUUAAAGGGUGCGUAGGCUGUGAGGUAAGUCAGCUGUGAAAUGCCCCCGCUCAACGGGGUGAAGUGCCAUUGAUACUGGCUUGCUGGAGUGCGGAUGCGGUGGGAGGAAUGUGUGGUGUAGCGGUGAAAUGCAUAGAUAUCACACAGAACACCGAUUGCGAAGGCAGCUCACGAAUCCGCGAUUGACGCUGAUGCACGAAAGCGUGGGUAUCAAACAGGAUUAGAUACCCGGGUAGUC
This 460-nucleotide ribosomal RNA is filed under the name uncultured bacterium. RNAcentral describes it as "partial 16S ribosomal RNA". It matches the Rfam family "Bacterial small subunit ribosomal RNA", at positions 338 to 795 of the family's 1533-position model. The record is from RNAcentral.